GGUGACUGUAUUUGAUAUUGUCCUAGUGAAAAUUGGGUUGGUUGUCCAUUUUCACUGCAUAAUUAAGAUGCAAUAUUAAUUUUAUAUCCAUCAAAAUUCUUAGUCAUUGUCUUUUUGCUAUAAUUUUUGUCAAGCCUUUCACUUUUGUCGAAAAAGCCAGACAUUGCAUUCUGUCGAUGUCGUUCAACUCAACAAUGUCAACAAAUAUUCACUCUGCAGUUAAAGUUUUUAAAAUUUUAAUAACUAUCCUGGAUUUUUACCAAACUUGAUUAUAAGCUUGUUUAUAAUCAUACAAUAG
This 298-nucleotide long non-coding RNA is filed under the name Mytilus galloprovincialis (Mediterranean mussel). The record is from RNAcentral. Lineage: Eukaryota; Metazoa; Mollusca; Bivalvia; Mytilida; Mytilidae.